GAUGAAGAACGCAGCGAAAUGCGAUAAGUAAUGUGAAUUGCAGAAUUCAGUGAAUCAUCGAAUCUUUGAACGCACAUUGCGCCCCUUGGUAUUCCGAGGGGCAUGCCUGUUCGAGCGUCAUUAUAACCCCUCAAGCUCAGCUUGGUGUUGGGGCCUGCUGCACUGGCAGCCCUUAAAAUCAGUGGCGGCGCCAACUGGCUCUAAGCGUAGUAAUUCUUCUCGCUAUGGAGUCCUGGUGGAUGCUUGCCAUCAACCCCCAAUUUUUCUAUGGUUGACCUCGGAUCAGGUAGGGAUACCCGCUGAACUUAAGCAUAUCAAUAAGCGGAGGA
Molecule: unclassified non-coding RNA, 329 nt
Filed under: soil metagenome
Description: partial contains 5.8S ribosomal RNA, internal transcribed spacer 2, and large subunit ribosomal RNA
Rfam family: 5.8S ribosomal RNA (bases 1-120)
Source: RNAcentral